This 73-nucleotide transfer RNA is filed under the name Petalonia binghamiae. RNAcentral describes it as "Endarachne binghamiae tRNA-Asp". It matches the Rfam family "tRNA". From Rfam's summary of the family: Transfer RNA (tRNA) molecules are approximately 80 nucleotides in length. Their secondary structure includes four short double-helical elements and three loops (D, anti-codon, and T loops). Lineage: Eukaryota; Phaeophyceae; Ectocarpales; Scytosiphonaceae. The record is from RNAcentral.
GAAAAAGUAACUCAGUGGUUAGAGUGUUGGCUUGUCAUGCCAGUGGCCGCGGGUUCAAAUCCCGUCUUUUUCG